UCCGACCUCUUUAUCCUGCAGACAUAUCUGUUAAAGGAUCCUUUGGGGGCUGUGAUGACACUCUCCCUGUGAGGACAUCAUGUCUCUCGUUCUUUCUGCUUGCUAGACUCUUGGGAAUCCUGCUGCCAAGGGCAGGUCAUCUGGGCCCCGCCCUGCUCAGAGGCCUGUUGACUUGGGCUCUCCGUUCAGGUGCGGGCGUGCCCAGGUGUGCAGAGAGCCAGUGAUGCAAUGCUUCACUGAACUCAACGCAACAAAAAAGCAACGAACCAGCAUAACAGCAAACCAACGCACGAGACCUCCUGACGCAAACCAAGAAAAAAAACCCUAACUUUAUACUCGUAUCUCUCUCUCAAAGCCUGAAAUUUAAACAAGUGACUUAUGAGUAUUCUCCAGUGCCCCUUUUUUUCUGUGGGGAGCUCUGGUUGUCUGCGUUGCUUGGUUCGGUUGGUCUGAGGUUCAACUGAGAAAACCUACAGCCUCAGACAGAAGGCAGAACGCAACAUUUCCAUCAAAAAAAUGUAAAAAACAAAAUAAAAACAGAAAAAUCCAUGUAACAGAC
Long non-coding RNA from Chanos chanos (milkfish), 559 nucleotides. RefSeq lists it as uncharacterized. The transcript is spliced from 3 exons. Lineage: Eukaryota; Metazoa; Chordata; Actinopteri; Gonorynchiformes; Chanidae. The record is from RefSeq and is a predicted model, not a curated record.